AUUGAACGCUGGCGGCAUGCCUUACACAUGCAAGUCGAACGGCAGCACGGGUGCUUGCCCCUGGUGGCGAGUGGCGAACGGGUGAGUAAUACAUCGGAACAUGUCCUGUAGUGGGGGAUAGCCCGGCGAAAGCCGGAUUAAUACCGCCUACGAUCUACGGAUGAAAGCGGGGGACCUUCGGGCCUCGCGCUAUAGGGUUGGCCGAUGGCUGAUUAGCUAGUUGGUGGGGUAAAGGCCUACCAAGGCGACGAUCAGUAGCUGGUCUGAGAGGACGACCAGCCACACUGGGACUGAGACACGGCCCAGACUCCUACGGGAGGCAGCAGUGGGGAAUUUUGGACAAUGGGCGAAAGCCUGAUCCAGCAAUGCCGCGUGUGUGAAGAAGGCCUUCGGGUUGUAAAGCACUUUUGUCCGGAAAGAAAUCCUUGGCCCUAAUACGGUCGGGGGAUGACGGUACCGGAAGAAUAAGCACCGGCUAACUACGUG
RNAcentral lists this ribosomal RNA (486 nucleotides) under uncultured bacterium. Its description in RNAcentral is "partial 16S ribosomal RNA". It matches the Rfam family "Bacterial small subunit ribosomal RNA", at positions 30 to 507 of the family's 1533-position model. The record is from RNAcentral.